Molecule: ribosomal RNA, 447 nt
Filed under: uncultured bacterium
Lineage: Bacteria
Description: partial 16S ribosomal RNA
Rfam family: Bacterial small subunit ribosomal RNA
Source: RNAcentral
AACGAACGCUGGCAGCAGGCUUAACACAUGCAAGUCGAGCGCCCCGCAAGGGGAGCGGCAGACGGGUGAGUAACGCGUGGGAAUCUACCCAACCCUACGGAAUAACGCAUGGAAACGUGUGCUAAUACCGUAUACGCCCUUUUGGGGAAAGAUUUAUCGGGGAUGGAUGAGCCCGCGUUGGAUUAGCUAGUUGGUGGGGUAAAGGCCUACCAAGGCGACGAUCCAUAGCUGGUCUGAGAGGAUGAUCAGCCACAUUGGGACUGAGACACGGCCCAAACUCCUACGGGAGGCAGCAGUGGGGAAUAUUGGACAAUGGGCGCAAGCCUGAUCCAGCCAUGCCGCGUGAGUGAUGAAGGCCCUAGGGUUGUAAAGCUCUUUCACCGGAGAAGAUAAUGACGGUAUCCGGAGAAGAAGCCCCGGCUAACUUCGUGCCAGCAGCCGCAGUAA